CUGCACCUCUUUUUAGAGGCAGACCAAAUUAUAUAUAAACGGCUUCUAAAACUUCAUUUCCAGAGAUGGUGCAUUUCUGGCUGCCUCUUAAAAUGCACUCUAUUUUUAAACGUGUCUAGCUAGUGUUUAGUGUUUCUUUGUCAUAAUCUGUUGACGAUCAAAACUGAAUGGAAGCGGUCAAAAACAUAGCAUAACUACCGCCACUGGAGAGGUAGCUAGUAUUUUAUUAAGUUCGCAUUAGGCCUUGUUUGGAUGUUGUCGGAUUCACCUCAAUUCAUAUGUGUUGGAGUGGAUUGGGGUGAAAUUUAGUUUGAGUUACACUCCAACCCACUCCAACACAUGUGGAUUGAUGUGAAUCCGACUACAUCCAAACAAGGCCUUAGAUGAACGUAUAGGCAUGUCCAUGCCCUGACGGACGUACCGACUUGCAACAUAACUGAUGCAAAGAAAACUCCAGACACUGGAGGCAUGCCUUGGUUGACUGACUAACUCUUUGUGCUUGUACUGUGCCACUAGAAAUUAAAACAAAUGAAAAUCUGCUUCGAGACUUGACGGGGAUAUACUUCACAAACCACCUCUUCCAGACUUCCAGACUCUGAUCGAGGGGACAAUUUGAUGUGUUCCUCUGCUCGGUCAGUCACUGUGCGGAGGCUGUCAGGUGAGUGUUUAUAUUUCUCACAUAGGGGUGUGGUCGCGUAGACGUCACCGGGUGGAAGUGCCUAUUUUCUGUAUUUGGAUGUGCAGUAGCAUCUUAAAAAUACAUGAACACUGAAAAAGGACAUCACAAGUAUAUAUCUUGGAAAUGCUUGACAGAUAUUUUUAUUUUUCCAUCACAAGCAACAUUUCCGACUUCCUUGCCAGUAGCAUUUCUAUGUUGUUGCAGAAAUGAUUGUCUAGAAAAACAGAAGAUCUUGCCUGGCAUUCAUUCCCUGUUUCCUCCAUUCCCCACCUUUAAUUACAACGACAACUUUUCUCCAGUGAUUUUUCUCUGUCUUCCAGUACGUACUCAUUCGAUUCUACUAUGCUCCUCAUCUGUUCUUUGGUGACCCAAGGCAAGAAAAUCAAUAUAUACAUUACCAGAUAGAGGUCGGACUUAUCAGGCCUUGUGAUUCCAGGACCAUCAGCAACAGGACCUUUAGGCACGCUAAAGUACAGUGCUAUACUACAAAUUAUGAGUAGAGCUGUGCCUAUAUGAUCUUGGGAUGUGCUUGGACCAUUUCAGCUUCAUUAUAUGUGAAUCUUUUAAAAAAGUAAAAAUACAGAAAAUUGAACUAACAUUCACAACAAAAUAGUUUAACUAAAAUUAUCAAGAAAUAAUUGAUAACAUAUUUGGGCUCCAAUACUAUACAGAACGUUCAAUGAAAAACGGGUCAAGACCCGCUUGUGAAAAACGUAGAACAUUCACUAUACAUAUCUAGAUGACUAAAAAAUGCACUAACAUCAACAACGUAAUAGUUUGACUAGGGUCGUGUCU
This 1474-nucleotide long non-coding RNA is filed under the name Sorghum bicolor (sorghum). Its description in RNAcentral is "long non-coding RNA (SBIC_LNC007664)". The stretch from base 255 to 363 matches the Rfam family "MIR5565 microRNA precursor family". Lineage: Eukaryota; Viridiplantae; Streptophyta; Magnoliopsida; Poales; Poaceae. The record is from RNAcentral.